AGCACAUGAUUUACACUGUGACAUGGAGAUCACAGGACCUCACACCUCCGGCGGUGGAGAGGAUCCGAGGACCCAUUCUCAAGGGCUUAGCGUUGUGCCUGGACCAGAGGAAGCAGUCAAUCCAUAUAAUGAUACUGAGGAAUGGAAAAAGACUUGCCAAAAGUCACCAAAGUAAAUUUCAGAGCUGGAAUUUGAAUUCAAGUUUUCUUGGUUCCAGUUCCUGUGGCAUAUGCGUCUCUGUUGGAAGGAGAAUUGCUACGUGUCCUACAUUCUCCUACUGCCAUCAUCCACCAAGGCGUGGCCGGGUGCAUGCUGACCCUCUGCAUUCAGCAGGCUGGGAAGCAGUAGAGCAUCUUCAGACUGGCGAUUACUGUAAUUAUGCUGAGAAACAGAGGGCUGGCUGAGAUUAGAACUGGGGAUUACAAGGAAAUCGUUGAAGACAACUCACGCUUCUAUCGACUCUAGGAACACUGGGAACGACGUUCUACACAAUAUUGCCCAUGUCCUCUAAGAUCCAUGUGACUGUUUCUCCAGAUUUCAGCAACAGAGAAAGUGCUGAGAAGAAUUGUGUGGGGAAGGCACUUCGACUUGCUCCCAGGAAGCAUCACAAGAUAGAAUUACUCUGUUGAUGGAUUGGCUUCAGAUGCAGCAGAGAAAAAGCAAGUCCUUCAGAAGCACAGGUGCCUGCUCUCUCUUCAGCACAGGCAUGUUGUGCCAACCUAACCCUGGAACUUCGUGUAUGAGGCGUCAUGACUUAGACUUUAAAAAAUAACCACACUUAUGUCAGAUAGAUACCAGAGCUGAAAUUUGGAGCCAGAGAAGUUUAAUUUCCCCAGAAGAGCUAAAAAGAAAAACAAAUAAAAAUUAAAAAAAAACCAUACAACCCCCAGCACAAUACAAACAAGAGAAGCCACAAAUAUCAAGUAGUAGGAAGGAGAAGUGGGUGCUUUUCCUUCAGCUAGCUCCCAGCAAUGAGCCGAACAGUCCUCCACACGAUGGGGACAUCCAGAGAGCUGUCAGUUAGGGGCUCUGCUUGGAAGGUAGGGAAGAGCCUAGACUUUUCCGGCCUCACAUCUGUCUUCAAAACGUGAUUGCAUUGUCGCCUGAAAAUGUUCACCACAUAGGAACCAAGAGGACAUGCGCAACUUGACCACCAUUUGUCAUGAAAUAGUUCAGGAAUCAUCCAUUUGGAAGCAAUGGAAAGCUAAUUUUCUGUCCACCCACCUUAUGGAAGGACGAUCAUGGGAAAAGCAAAAAAAUCAGCAAAUGAGAAAAAUAUCACAUAGAUAGAUGAUAAAUAAAUAGAUAGAUGAUAGAUAGCAACAACAUCUUUAUAUAUGAUUUUUUCAUUCCAAAUAUAUCAACAAGCUAAUGAGGCCUCUGGAAAAUACCAGUUACAUCAUCAUUGCUAACAGGCUCUUAAAAGUACUAUAUUUCAUAUUCUAACCAAAUUUUCCAGUAUUUGUCAAAUAUUACUAGCUAAGCAAUUCAAAAGUUACCCCACCAGGACCUAAGAGGCUAGUUAUAGAUUAUAAAUAGACACCAUUAAAUUAAUAACACAAAUAUAGAGAGAUAACUAAGAACUACACUGAGUGUGUGUCUUUUCAGGAAAAAUAAUUCUAAAGCAUUUAUCUACUGCCUCUGCUUCAUAUGGCACGUUGGACACUGGAAGAGAAGAGCAUUUAGGACCUAGUUUACAAAGUGUUAAUGCCUUUUCUUUUUGAAACAGAAACACCGAGACCAGUGCAAAUCCUGGUAAAAAUGACUGUCAAUUCAUCUUUCAAUGAAUUAAACAUUUAUAGAAUAUCUAAGCUUCCACAAACACCAGCUUCCCAGACACUAAAACUGCUAGUAUUCUGUAACUAUCUUUGAAAAGAAAAAGAGCUGAGUCAACUCUGUGGGGAUUAAAACUAUGGCUCCAAGGAGUCUGAGUAUUUU
RNAcentral lists this long non-coding RNA (1938 nucleotides) under Equus caballus (horse). RNAcentral describes it as "lncRNA (ENSECAG00000055863.1)". Lineage: Eukaryota; Metazoa; Chordata; Mammalia; Perissodactyla; Equidae. The record is from RNAcentral.